This is a long non-coding RNA of Lagopus leucura (white-tailed ptarmigan), 246 nucleotides long. RefSeq lists it as uncharacterized. Lineage: Eukaryota; Metazoa; Chordata; Aves; Galliformes; Phasianidae. The record is from RefSeq and is a predicted model, not a curated record. The transcript is spliced from 2 exons.
CGUAAUGCUGGAGGAAAUAAAGACCACUCACUCCUUUUGUAAAACAGUGUUUCAAAGAUAAAGAUGGACGUCACCACCGAGCCGUGAUGACUCGAAUACUUAACAUACUGAAUGGAUGGGAUCAUAGGAGGAGGAAAGAGGCUGUGAGAAGGGAAGAAAGUCAUGAAUGUGUUUUAAAAACUAUGCUCAUCUCUUCCUCCCACUAAUCUGGAUUAAAAUUAAAUAAACUCAUACCUUCUUCAUUCA